GCCGCGGCGAUAGCUCAGUGGGUAAAGCGCCAGGUGAGUAUUGAGAGCUAUUAUCCGCGCGGGUUCGAAUCUCGCCUGUGGCA
Aromia moschata is the source of this 83-nucleotide non-coding RNA. The record is from the annotation of a GenBank genome assembly. Lineage: Eukaryota; Metazoa; Arthropoda; Insecta; Coleoptera; Cerambycidae.